This is a long non-coding RNA of Gasterosteus aculeatus aculeatus (three-spined stickleback), 625 nucleotides long. The record is from Ensembl. Lineage: Eukaryota; Metazoa; Chordata; Actinopteri; Perciformes; Gasterosteidae.
AACAUUUGUUCGUGUGAGAUCACGUGACAGCGGCGGAUUCAAAAUCCAACUCAGUAUUUACAGAUCUGCUCCUGAAUUUCAGAUCUUCAUGUUCUGGUCCACUCUAAGCAGAAAGCCACAUAGUCUUUUGUGGCCUGCACUGAAAUUAUUCCUCUUUCUGGGUGUGACUUUGCUAAUCCAGUUUUGGCAAUUCGUGAUUUCUAUCUGUCAGCUUAAAUCAAAGGAUUACACGCGGUGAGUUGAUAAUGUUCUGCAUUUCUUUGAAUUAGGAAAAAGCCUCAAAAAUACAUUUGAAUGAAAUGGAAACAUGACGGAGCCUGCGAUAUACAGUAUGUCUGCACCAGAAGGCUCUUUCAUUUUCACGUGUUUUUCUUGCACUUUUUACUCACAACAUCACACGGCGUCUGCCACUCUCCAUCUGUGGAACUGGUCCUGCCGGCGAGCUCUCCCUCCUUCCGUCUGGAUCUGCAUGUCAUAUGGCUGCGUGUGUCUCAGCAAACUGGCAAUGUUUGGACUGUGGAAGGAAAUGUAGAUACCAUUACACAACACAGUCUACAGAAGCACCAUUUCCCGCUCCCUAAGACACAAGCUCCCAGAAUGAUUGAUGACCAUCAACGCUGUUGUC